UGGAAAUUUGAAGGGACAAUGAUUUAGUGU
RNAcentral lists this non-coding RNA (30 nucleotides) under Rattus norvegicus (Norway rat). The record is from RNAcentral. Lineage: Eukaryota; Metazoa; Chordata; Mammalia; Rodentia; Muridae.